This is a long non-coding RNA of Sapajus apella (tufted capuchin), 4249 nucleotides long. RefSeq lists it as uncharacterized. The record is from RefSeq and is a predicted model, not a curated record. Lineage: Eukaryota; Metazoa; Chordata; Mammalia; Primates; Cebidae. The transcript is spliced from 2 exons.
UGUUGUUUUGUUUAGCAAUUUUAGAACCUUGUGAUUUUGUUUCUUUAACGCAUACUGGAUUUAUUUUUUGAAAAUGGUGAAGUUAAAAACAGAAGCAGGACUGAUUCAAUUUGUGUAUUGACACAAGAUGUUUUUGUCGACCUCAAAACAAUCUUAUUUUAAGUGUGUCCAUCAAGGCUGCUACUUCACAGAGACCCACAAAUAAAGCCAGAAUGUGUAGUGAGGUUGACAAGAUAAACAUUGUAUCUAAGAACCUGCAUUAAUUUAAGUUACUUGCCUUUUAGCAAUGAUUUCAAAAAUUAGAGUUUAGGAAGAUCUUAGAAUUUAUAUUUGUUUUUAUUUUUGACAUUGUUCAUUUUUGUUAUGGAAUAUUCAUGCGUACUAAAGAAUAUAUUUAAAGUAUAUAUAAAAUAUAUGGGAGAUAAUUAAAUGAAUAUCCCUAUGCCCACCACUCAUCUUAAAAAUAGAACAUAACCAGUACUUUUAAGCCCCUUUAUCAUUUUAUGUUUUAUAAUGCAUCAACAUUAUAGUAAAAUUGCAUGUGUAUAUAGUGUAAAAGAAGUAAGUACAUGUAUCUUGGGAUGCAUGUCCCCAUUUGCUGUCAGAGUGCAAAUUCAGAACACCCUAAAUACGAUGCUGGUUGCUCCUCAACAGGGCUGAGGUCUCAGUACGUGUUUCUGUAUUUUGGGUUUUGAUUCCUCCUGAUGUUACUGUUCAGGCACAUGGUUUACCCGGCUGUUACCUAUUCUCCUUGCCAAUCCAGCAGUCCUCCAAAAUUCUAAUCAAACAUGAUUUGGAAAAUGUUAUGUGACUUUUCUCAGUGAAAAAAAUUUAAACAAAUUAGAUCAAUACAAGUUUGAUUAUAAAGUUAUUUUGACUUUGAAGAAAGAAUUGUAUAGAUCUUUUAAAAGGUGGAGUAAAUUUAUAAAUAUCCUUUGCAUUAACUAAUGCUAACAGUGUUAUUCAUCCACAUAUUUUGUUACCUUUAAAAUAAAUCUGUAACUCUCAUAGCCACAAAUAAUAAAAUGUAUGUUGAAAUCAUUUUGACAUAUAAAUCAUUCAUAUAGAAUUGUAGACAUAAAGGCAUCAAUUUAAAAAUUUGCUGCAUAAUUUGAUGUGGUGAACAUAGUAUCAUUUUUUAUAAUUAUUCUUUUUAAAUAGAUUAUGAAAAAUUAAGGAUCAGAGUAUCAAAGUUUAGUGUUCCCCAAAACAUUAAAGCAUUUUAAGUUAAGAUUUUAACAUUUAAACGUUUGAGUGGUUAGUGUUAAAAUGUGCUCUGGAGGUUUUCAACUCAGAUCUAUAUGAUGAUAUCAUCUUGUGAAUUCAAAUGUAAUCAGAUACUUCACAUUAUGUUUUUUUUUUCAUAUCUUAGUCAAUAGUUUAAAGUUCAUAUGUCAGUUAUCUCACAUUUACCAAUUUCUUAUUAUUUAAAAACACUUUUAGGUUUCAAAAGUUUCAAGAUGAAUUUAUGCCUUUUUCUGACUUUGUGUCUAAAUUGAGAAUAUUAGACCAAACUAUUGUUUAAUGAAUGCUGAUAUUCAUAGAUAUUGUUUUUAUUAUUUAAAAAAAUAAGUAACCAAGACUUAGAGAUUAGUUAAAAUAGUGGAACCCGAAAGAUCACAUGAAAUGUAUGCUAAGAAUGGAUUUUCUCAUUAGAAUUUGGUGAUUUUCGCUAUCAAUAUAUUCUCUCCCACUGGAAUAUAAAGUUGAUGAAAGAAGAAUCCAUAUCUUUUUUUCUUACUGUUGCCUUGCCUGUGCCCACUGUGGUUUCAGGCACACAAGGCACUCAGUAAAUUAGCAAAAAAUGAAUACUUCACACUGAUCAACAGAGAAUGAAUUAUUAGUAUCAAUCCCUGCCAGUAGAGAGGUGUCUGGUUUCAAAUCUCUGCUCUGCCACAUCCAGUUUGGAUGAGCGAGGGACAGAGGUACAGAUCUCUGUACCCUAAUUUCUAGAAUACUACUACUCAACUAACAAAAUAUUCUGAGGUUUAAUUAAGUUGAUAUAUACAAAGUAUCAAAGAUAGCCCCUAACAUGGUAAGUCUCAAGUUUAAGCUCUUAUUAAACACAGUCUUUCUCAAACUUUUCCAUCCCUGUAGCCCUUUUGCUAUUAAAAAAUAUUAAGGAUAUCAAAAAAUAUUUUAUAUUGGCUAUAGAAAUUGAUAUUCACCACUUUAGAAAUUAAAGUGGAACCUUCAAAAACACAACACACAAACACAUGUUAUUAGCUAUCAGAGUCAUGGUAUUAUCAUGCCAUAUACCUUCUGAAAGUCUUAACUGAACACUUGUAAGCAAAUGAGAGUUAAAAAGUCAGAUAACAUCUUCAUAUUAUAUGAAAAUGAUUUUGAACUUGCAGACUCUAUGAAAAGUUCUUGAGGACUCUCAGGGUUUCCCAGACUACUCUUUGAGAACCACUGAGUCAGCACAAGAUUCUAUGCUAAGAAUUAAGCAGGCACAGAAACACAUAGUUCAUAAUCUUUAUUGAAAGUUUAUUGAAAGAGAGGGGCAGGUACACAUAUUCUGGCCACACAGUUAAGCAUUGGUGGAAUGCAUGGUCCAAUGUUAUCACCAUGUCAGGGCACAGUGACUCGCUGUGCCAGAAAGCAGGGCAGAACGGAAGAUGCAGCCUAAAAGAAGUCACUUGAGCACUGUGUAAAGAGAAAUUUGACCAUCCCUUCCAUUGCACAUACAUUCUAAAAUCCCCAUCUAUGCAGUAUCAAAUCUACUUUUUAGAGUUUUUAAACCGUGGUAUUCUGAUUAUAACCUUAGCAAAUUACUUUUAAAAUGUAUUGCCCAUGAAAUAUUAACCAUAAUGUCAUUUAUGGAAAGAUUCAAGAAUGACCCUGACAAUAUACAAAAAUGUAUAAAUAAAUAUUCACAAAUUGUGAUUCAUCAUUCACCUGAGUUCAUUUUUCUCAUUAGGGUUCUGUUUCUGAAGCUAAGGGAAAAACUGAUCCUAAGACAAACAGAGAAUUAGGCCCAUGGGAUACAUUGAUUAAAUGGAAAGAAUUUCAUAACAUAUGUGUAUAAUUUUUUCUUUCUCACGACUAGAACAACUCCAUUAUUUUCCUUUCUUAAAUUGUGUAUACAAAGCAGAUUAAAAACAAAAAAACACAAAUUUUUUAAAUACUUGAACUCAUCUUUUCUCUAUUGUGUGAUAAUAGGGUGUAAUUCAGAAAUUAGUAUUUGAAAGUUGUUUUCUUCUGUUUUUUUUUUUUUUUUUUUUUUUUUUUUUAACCUUUUAAAGUUCCCUCAGGGAGCAAUUCAGCAGGUGAUAAAUUAGAGAAUGUGUAUAAUCUUCUUUGUUCAGAAAGUAUCUAUUAGACCAGAGCUGUUUUUACUGUUUUUCAGUACAGGAGCUACCUCUUGUUAGCAUAGGUAUAUGAAAUUAAGAUAUAAAUUGUCAAAGGGAGAUAGACAGACAAACUAGAGAAAGGCCAAUCUGAAAAAACUUUAUAUUUCUUAUUGUGGCAAGAUAUGUUUUGCUUUCCUAUGAAUUACUACUCUAGCGAUCUAGUCCCUUGCCAUUAACAAGAAGGAAUGGUAUUUUCCAUCCUGCCUUAAAGAUUGCAGCUGUUGAUUGUUUCAGAGUAAGCAAAUUAUAUUAGUUUGACAUUAUAUGUUAUAUGAUAUUUGCAACUGUAUCAUUUAUUGGAAUAUUGAUUUUCAUUGUUUCAUAGGCAUUUGAUGAUUUUAUAAAAUCUGCAUAGCUACUAAAAAUAUAAGACUCUGGGAAAAAAUGACAGUCGUGAAUCACCAGUUUGGAAAACUAGAAGUGAUAAAUACAAAAAUUCUAUAUAAGAGGGUGUUUAAAAGACAUGCAACAUGUAUUUGUUCCCAAAGAGACUGUCAGAAAGGUUCAGCUGAGUUUGCCUUAAAGAGCAUGGAAGAAUUGUUUAGUAUUAUACAGGAAGUGUCUGCAAUUAGAUAAUGAUAGUGUUUUUUAAAGUACUUGCAGAAAGUUUGAUUUUUCUAAAAUAGGCUAGCUACUUUGUAGUCUUAAACUAUGCAAUGUGUUUACUACAUACUUUAUGAAAAUUAACACAGAUAAUAUGGCUCAUUUUUCCUGAAUUACAGUGGACUAUAAAUUCAUGAUAUUUAACUGUGAUUACAUGAAGCUUUCUAUUAAAUUGAUAUGAGAGAUAAAGCAUUUAAUAUGUAUUAAGGUACUUUAAAAAAUACAUGAGGUAUGUAUUUUGGUUCUGAUUUCACAUACCAGAAAAAAAAAAAAAAAAAAGACACAAAGGGACC